CACAAGUUCAGCAUGGCGUGUGGAGACGUAUCGAAAAUAAAGAGCAAAGAGUGAAUCCCCAUUAUUAUAAUUUUUUCAUUCCUUUUAAUAAAUUCAAAAUCAAACAACUAUAUCAAUGUACUCUAAAAGAUGCAACAACAAAACUCAAGUUCCUAUGUAUGCUACAAAGCUGCAUAUGAUGUUGUCGAGCUUUUCAUGUUAUCUAGGUACAUAUAUUGAAUAUUAUUUGUUAUAGUUUAUUUAAAAAUAAUUUCUUUUUUUUUCUUUCAAAUCGCUAUCAAUAGGAUUCCUUUAAUUUUAUAAUUUGAGUGUUGUGUUUUUGUUUAAUAUUUAAAGAGGUGGUCUAAUAUUUUUUUUUUCAAAUGCAAGAUAUUUCGACUUCAAUUUUUGGAUCAAAAUCAUCUUCAUUGUUUUGCUAACCAUUCAACGAUAAUUUACCGAUAUGUUUGGCAUGAUGAUUGAGAUUACUACUAUUAUAGUUACUACUCUUCUCAACCAAACAUAUAGGUAUUUUGAAAGUAUUAUUCAUUCGAUAAAGAAAAUAUAUAAUUGUUGUUGUUUUUGUAACUUUAUAAGUAAUUAUCAUUUUGUUUUAUUUAAGGGGAAGAAAUAUCUAUCUCCAAUUUCGUCACAUCAAGAACUAACAACAAUGGAUCAAAUCGAAGCAGCAGAAGAUGUGGUUAGUUUUCUUUUUAUUUUUCUUUAAUUGAAUAAUCUAAAUCAUUUGUUGGUUUUGGAAAAGAUAAGAAUGGAUUAGUCUUUUCUUUAAUUUUAGCAUCUUUAUUCUCCAUUUUUUAUAUUUUUUUUUAACUUUUUUUUUUGAAAUAGGAAAAAAUUUAAAAGUCGUAACCCGAUUCGAACUAGGGUUAAUGCCAAUAUUCUCAACCCGGCUUGAGGAGGAUUUGUGAGCCAACGCAUGUAUAAUUUCAUUUUUCAUGCCAUCACUUACUGGCUUAAGUGGAUCUAACGCC
This 971-nucleotide long non-coding RNA is filed under the name Trifolium pratense (red clover). RNAcentral describes it as "long non-coding RNA (TPRA_LNC004985)". Lineage: Eukaryota; Viridiplantae; Streptophyta; Magnoliopsida; Fabales; Fabaceae. The record is from RNAcentral.